Molecule: long non-coding RNA, 352 nt
Filed under: Homo sapiens (human)
Lineage: Eukaryota; Metazoa; Chordata; Mammalia; Primates; Hominidae
Description: non-protein coding lnc-EN1-6:2
Source: RNAcentral
GUAAAAUCUUCCGGGGACGUUGGGUUUCUCCUCUUACGAUCUUGGGGCAGAGGGCUCCAGUGAGUGAUGCCAGAAUGUAAACACAUGAGAAAGAAAGAAUUGUCCAUAGGUCCUGUCAUCAUAAAAAACCCUGUUACAGAAGACAAACAUUCAAGUUGCCUGUAAUCUCAUCUCACAAGAGAUGAGCUAAGGGCAGAAGUGCUCCAUAUCCCUUUCCCUGUAGAAAAAUAUCAUUAAUCUCUCUGUGAAUGACUUCAAUAAAACGAUGUCAAAGGAGGAGGGGAAGAAGUGGGCCUCACCCCUUCACUCUCUUCACUCUCCCCGAGGAGGCUUCGUGCUCUUGGCCCCUCAG